This 21-nucleotide non-coding RNA is filed under the name Caenorhabditis elegans. Lineage: Eukaryota; Metazoa; Nematoda; Chromadorea; Rhabditida; Rhabditidae. The record is from RNAcentral.
UAUACCCCUAUGACUAUCAAC